Quercus lobata is the source of this 641-nucleotide long non-coding RNA. RefSeq lists it as uncharacterized. The record is from RefSeq and is a predicted model, not a curated record. The transcript is spliced from 3 exons. NCBI's taxonomy places the organism in Eukaryota, Viridiplantae, Streptophyta, Magnoliopsida, Fagales, Fagaceae.
UUAAAAAGAAUCCCAGAGUAGAAAUAAACAUAUACUGUCUAGAGGAGGUUGAAGAUGAGGAAGAAGCCAAAAGUGCAAAAUUAAAAGAAAAGGAAAUAUUCAACUUGGGAUAGAGGGAUCAUUUUAUCCAUUCACCCCUUUUCUCCAAAAGCUCAAAUUGUGUGAGUCAGCCUACUCUCUCCUGCUCCUGGACCAAAUUCAAUACUUCAUUGCCCUUAAAAUUCUGUGGAUGGAGGGAUUAUAUGAGAUGUUAGCUUUGCCAGGGUGGUUAGGCAAUCUUUCCUCUCUUCAAAAGCUGUAUAUUAUGGAUUGCAAUCGCUUGCUGCAUCUGCCCACUGAGGAAGCCAUGCGACGCCUCGCCCAAUUGAAAACGCUGGAGAUUUAUGAUUGCCCCAAUUUGGAAGACAAUGAGCAGUCCAAGAUUGACCAUAUUCCAUUUGUUGACAUACAGGAUAGCGGGCAGCCAGAUUGGUCUGAUUUCGAAGACGAAGACUAAAUCAGGAAGCUGGCAAGAAGUUUGCAUUUGGGAAAAUAAUUGAGUUGAUGACAACUGUUGCCAAGGCACUUCAGCUAACAAGAAGAUUGCGUCUCAGAAAAUAGCGAACUUGAUGACAACUGAUACCAAGACACUUUAGGUUUGC